AACGCGAAGAACCUUACCAAGGCUUGACAUAUAGCGAAAAGUGGCAGAGAUGUCAUGUCCGCAAGGGCGCUAUACAGGUGGUGCAUGGUUGUCGUCAGCUCGUGUCGUGAGAUGUUGGGUUAAGUCCCGCAACGAGCGCAACCCUCGUUCUGUGUUACCAGCGUUAAGUUGGGGACUCACAGGAGACUGCCGGGGUCAACUCGGAGGAAGGUGGGGAUGACGUCAAAUCAUCAUGCCCCUUAUGUCUUGGGCUGCACGCAUGCUACAAUGGCCGGUACAAAGUGCUGCGAAAUCGUAAGAUUUAGCGAAUCACAUAAAGCCGGUCUCAGUUCGGAUUGAGGUCUGCAACUCGACCUCAUGAAGUUGGAGUUGCUAGUAAUCGUAGAUCAGCAACGCUACGGUGAAUACGUUCCCGGGUCUUGUACACACCG
This 431-nucleotide ribosomal RNA is filed under the name uncultured bacterium. Its description in RNAcentral is "bacterial SSU rRNA". It matches the Rfam family "Bacterial small subunit ribosomal RNA", at positions 958 to 1392 of the family's 1533-position model. The record is from RNAcentral.